GAUGAAGAACGUAGCGAAAUGCGAUAAGUAGUGUGAAUUGCAGAAUUCAGUCAAUCAUCGAAUCUUUGAACGCACAUUGCGCCCCAUGGUAUUCCGUGGGGCAUGCCUGUUCGAGCGUCAUUUACCCCCUCAAGCUCCGCUUGGUGUUGGGCGUCUGUCCCGCUUCGCGCGCGGACUCGCCCCAAAGGUAUUGGCAGCGGUCGUGCCAGCUUCUCGCGCAGCACAUUGCGCUUCUCGAGGCACCGGUGGGCCCGCGUCCAUCAAGCUCACCCCCCCAGUUUGACCUCGGAUCAGGUAGGGAUACCCGCUGAACUUAAGCAUAUCAAUAAGCGGAGGA
Molecule: unclassified non-coding RNA, 337 nt
Filed under: soil metagenome
Description: partial contains 5.8S ribosomal RNA, internal transcribed spacer 2, and large subunit ribosomal RNA
Rfam family: 5.8S ribosomal RNA (bases 1-120)
Source: RNAcentral